RNAcentral lists this ribosomal RNA (240 nucleotides) under uncultured bacterium. RNAcentral describes it as "partial 16S ribosomal RNA". It matches the Rfam family "Bacterial small subunit ribosomal RNA", at positions 524 to 762 of the family's 1533-position model. The record is from RNAcentral.
GACGAACCCGUGCGAACGUUGUUCGGAAUCACUGGGCUUAAAGGGCGCGUAGGCGGGUCGUCAAGUUUGGGGUGAAAUCCUCCGGCUCAACCGGAGAACUGCCUCGAAUACUGACGGUCUCGAGGGGGAUAGGGGCAUGCGGAACUACGGGUGGAGCGGUGAAAUGCGUUGAUAUCCGUAAGAACUCCGGUGGCGAAGGCGGCGUGCUGGAUCCCUUCUGACGCUGAGGCGCGAAAGCCA